This is a non-coding RNA of Zootermopsis nevadensis, 73 nucleotides long. NCBI's taxonomy places the organism in Eukaryota, Metazoa, Arthropoda, Insecta, Blattodea, Termopsidae. The record is from Rfam.
GCCACGGUGGUCUAGAGGUCAGAACACUGGGCUUGUAAUCCUGGGGUCCAGGGUUCGAUUCCCGGCGGUGCCC